This 1440-nucleotide ribosomal RNA is filed under the name Staphylococcus sp. RNAcentral's name for it is "bacterial SSU rRNA". It matches the Rfam family "Bacterial small subunit ribosomal RNA". The record is from RNAcentral. Lineage: Bacteria; Bacillati; Bacillota; Bacilli; Caryophanales; Staphylococcaceae.
UGCCUAUACAUGCAGUCGAGCGAACAGAUAAGGAGCUUGCUCCUUUGACGUUAGCGGCGGACGGGUGAGUAACACGUGGGUAACCUACCUAUAAGACUGGGAUAACUUCGGGAAACCGGAGCUAAUACCGGAUAACAUUUGGAACCGCAUGGUUCUAAAGUGAAAGAUGGUUUUGCUAUCACUUAUAGAUGGACCCGCGCCGUAUUAGCUAGUUGGUAAGGUAACGGCUUACCAAGGCGACGAUACGUAGCCGACCUGAGAGGGUGAUCGGCCACACUGGAACUGAGACACGGUCCAGACUCCUACGGGAGGCAGCAGUAGGGAAUCUUCCGCAAUGGGCGAAAGCCUGACGGAGCAACGCCGCGUGAGUGAUGAAGGGUUUCGGCUCGUAAAACUCUGUUAUUAGGGAAGAACAAACGUGUAAGUAACUGUGCACGUCUUGACGGUACCUAAUCAGAAAGCCACGGCUAACUACGUGCCAGCAGCCGCGGUAAUACGUAGGUGGCAAGCGUUAUCCGGAAUUAUUGGGCGUAAAGCGCGCGUAGGCGGUUUCUUAAGUCUGAUGUGAAAGCCCACGGCUCAACCGUGGAGGGUCAUUGGAAACUGGGAAACUUGAGUGCAGAAGAGGAAAGUGGAAUUCCAUGUGUAGCGGUGAAAUGCGCAGAGAUAUGGAGGAACACCAGUGGCGAAGGCGACUUUCUGGUCUGUAACUGACGCUGAUGUGCGAAAGCGUGGGGAUCAAACAGGAUUAGAUACCCUGGUAGUCCACGCCGUAAACGAUGAGUGCUAAGUGUUAGGGGGUUUCCGCCCCUUAGUGCUGCAGCUAACGCAUUAAGCACUCCGCCUGGGGAGUACGACCGCAAGGUUGAAACUCAAAGGAAUUGACGGGGACCCGCACAAGCGGUGGAGCAUGUGGUUUAAUUCGAAGCAACGCGAAGAACCUUACCAAAUCUUGACAUCCUUUGAAAACUCUAGAGAUAGAGCCUUCCCCUUCGGGGGACAAAGUGACAGGUGGUGCAUGGUUGUCGUCAGCUCGUGUCGUGAGAUGUUGGGUUAAGUCCCGCAACGAGCGCAACCCUUAAGCUUAGUUGCCAUCAUUAAGUUGGGCACUCUAGGUUGACUGCCGGUGACAAACCGGAGGAAGGUGGGGAUGACGUCAAAUCAUCAUGCCCCUUAUGAUUUGGGCUACACACGUGCUACAAUGGACAAUACAAAGGGCAGCUAAACCGCGAGGUCAUGCAAAUCCCAUAAAGUUGUUCUCAGUUCGGAUUGUAGUCUGCAACUCGACUACAUGAAGCUGGAAUCGCUAGUAAUCGUAGAUCAGCAUGCUACGGUGAAUACGUUCCCGGGUCUUGUACACACCGCCCGUCACACCACGAGAGUUUGUAACACCCGAAGCCGGUGGAGUAACCAUUUAUGGAGCUAGCCGUCGAAAGGUGA